AUUGAACGCUGGCGGCAUGCCUUACACAUGCAAGUCGAACGGCAGCGGACCUUCGGGUGCCGGCGAGUGGCGAACGGGUGAGUAAUAUAUCGGAACGUACCUUUCAGGUGGGGGAUAACGUAGCGAAAGUUACGCUAAUACCGCAUAUUCUGUGAGCAGGAAAGCAGGGGAUCGCAAGACCUUGCGCUGAUUGAGCGGCCGAUAUCAGAUUAGCUAGUUGGUGAGGUAAAGGCUCACCAAGGCGACGAUCUGUAGCGGGUCUGAGAGGAUGAUCAGCCACACUGGCACUGGAACACGGGCCAGACUCCUACGGGAGGCAGCAGUGAGGAAUAUUGGGCAAUGGGCGAAAGCCUGACCCAGCCACGCCGCGUGAGUGAUGAAGGCCCUCGGGUCGUAAAGCUCUGUGGAGAGGGACGAAAACCCUGGUUUCAAAUAGGCUCCAGGCUUGACGGUACCUCUUUAGCAAGCACCGGCUAACUCUGUG
Molecule: ribosomal RNA, 484 nt
Filed under: uncultured bacterium
Lineage: Bacteria
Description: bacterial SSU rRNA
Rfam family: Bacterial small subunit ribosomal RNA
Source: RNAcentral